Molecule: non-coding RNA, 340 nt
Organism: Pantherophis guttatus
Lineage: Eukaryota; Metazoa; Chordata; Lepidosauria; Squamata; Colubridae
Source: RefSeq, a predicted model, not a curated record
AGUUCUCCUUAUACCCAGCAGCCACGGUAGCCGCGUUUAGAAAGAGCUGGCGGAAAAUGAAUCUAUGGAGGAAGUUCAACAACUGCCAAGAAAUGAAGACAGCUGAGAAGUUAAUGUGAAAAAUCAGUAGCAACUACUUUCAGCUGCCACUGUUGCUCAAUUACUACAUCAUCACAACACAUGAGAAGUAACCAUGAUCAAGAAUAAACUGCAUGCUCAUCUGUCUCCUUUUUGGCAGUGGCUGUAGUUAUUAAUGAACUUUUUUGUUCAGUUGGGAGGAGGAAAAGAUUCUUCUGCAGAUAAUUGUGCAUAUGAUAUAAUAAAAUCGGGAUUACCUACU